CCUGUGGCUUACAGAUGGGCUUGCGGCGCAUUAGCUAGUUGGUGGGGUAACGGCUCACCAAGGCGACGAUGCGUAGCCGACCUGAGAGGGUGAUCGGCCACACUGGGACUGAGACACGGCCCAGACUCCUACGGGAGGCAGCAGUAGGGAAUCUUCCGCAAUGGACGCAAGUCUGACGGAGCAACGCCGCGUGAGUGAUGAAGGUUUUCGGAUCGUAAAGCUCUGUUGCCAGGGAAGAACGUCGCGGAGAGUAACUGCUCUGCGAAUGACGGUACCUGAGAAGAAAGCCCCGGCUAACUACGUGCCAGCAGCCGCGGUAAUACGUAGGGGGCAAGCGUUGUCCGGAAUUAUUGGGCGUAAAGCGCGCGCAGGCGGCCGCUUAAGUCUGGUGUUUAAGCCCGGGGCUCAACCCCGGUUCGCACUGGAAACUGGGCGGCUUGAGUGCAGGAGAGGAAAGCGGAAUUCCACGUGUAGCGGUGAAAUGCGUAGAGAUGUGGAGGAACACCAGUGGCGAAGGCGGCUUUCUGGCCUGUAACUGACGCUGAGGCGCGAAAGCGUGGGGAGCAAACAGGAUUAGAUACCCUGGUAGUCCACGCCGUAAACGAUGAGUGCUAGGUGUUAGGGGUUUCGAUACCCUUGGUGCCGAAGUAAACACAAUAAGCACUCCGCCUGGGGAGUACGCUCGCAAGAGUGAAACUCAAGGAAUUGACGGGGACCCGCACAAGCAGUGGAGUAUGUGGUUUAAUUCGAAGCAACGCGAAGAACCUUACCAGGUCUUGACAUCCCUCUGAAUAUCCUAGAGAUAGGGUAGGCCUUCGGGACAGAGGAGACAGGUGGUGCAUGGUUGUCGUCAGCUCGCGUCGUGAGAUGUUGGGUUAAGUCCCGCAACGAGCGCAACCCUUGAACUUAGUUGCCAGCAUUAAGUUGGGCACUCUAAGUUGACUGCCGGUGACAAACCGGAGGAAGGUGGGGAUGACGUCAAAUCAUCAUGCCCCUUAUGACCUGGGCUACACACGUACUACAAUGGCCGGUACAACGGGAAGCGAAGUCGCGAGAUGGAGCCAAUCCUAAGAAAGCCGGUCUCAGUUCGGAUUGCAGGCUGCAACUCGCCUGCAUGAAGUCGGAAUUGCUAGUAAUCGCGGAUCAGCAUGCCGCGGUGAAUACGUUCCCGGGUCUUGUACACACCGCCCGUCACACCACGAGAGUUUACAACACCCGAAGUCGGUGGGGUAACCGCAAGGAGCCAGCCGCCGAAGGUGGGGUAGAUGAUUGGGGGUGAAGUCGUAACAG
Molecule: ribosomal RNA, 1290 nt
Filed under: Paenibacillus sp.
Lineage: Bacteria; Bacillati; Bacillota; Bacilli; Caryophanales; Paenibacillaceae
Description: bacterial SSU rRNA
Rfam family: Bacterial small subunit ribosomal RNA
Source: RNAcentral